RNAcentral lists this ribosomal RNA (402 nucleotides) under uncultured prokaryote. Its description in RNAcentral is "bacterial SSU rRNA". It matches the Rfam family "Bacterial small subunit ribosomal RNA", at positions 355 to 774 of the family's 1533-position model. The record is from RNAcentral.
UAGGGAAUAUUAGUAAUGGGCGAAAGCCUGAACUAGCAACACCGCGUGUGCGAAGAAGGCCUUCGGGUUGUAAAGCGCUUUUUGAGAGGAUGAGGAAGGACAGUACUCUUAGAAUAAGCCUCGGCUAACUACGUGCCAGCAGCCGCGGUAAAACGUAGGAGGCGAGCGUUAUCCGGAUUUACUGGGCGUAAAGCGUGUGUAGGCGGUUUGAUAAGUUGGAUGUGAAAGCUCCUGGCUUAACUGGGAGAGGUCGUUCAAAACUAUCAGACUUGAGAGUGGUAGAGGGAGGUGGAAUUCCGCAUGUAGUGGUGAAAUGCGUAGAUAUGCGGAGGAACACCAGUGGCGAAAGCGGCCUCCUGGCCCAUUUCUGACGCUCAGACACGAAAGCUAAGGUAGCAAACA